UUGACCUCGGAUCAGGUAGGGAUACCCGCUGAACUUAAGCAUAUCAAUAAGCGGAGGAAAAGAAACCAACAGGGAUUGCCCUAGUAACGGCGAGUGAAGCGGCAACAGCUCAAAUUUGAAAUCUGGCGCCUUGGUGCCCGAGUUGUAAUUUGUAGAGGAUGUUUCGGGCGCGGCACCGGUCUAAGUUCCUUGGAACAGGGCGUCAUAGAGGGUGAGAAUCCCGUACGUGAUCGGUUGCCUACCCCAUGUGAAACUCCUUCGACGAGUCGAGUUGUUUGGGAAUGCAGCUCAAAAUGGGUGGUAUAUUUCAUCUAAAGCUAAAUAUUGGCCAGAGACCGAUAGCGCACAAGUAGAGUGAUCGAAAGAUGAAAAGCACUUUGGAAAGAGAGUUAAACAGUACGUGAAAUUGUUGAAAGGGAAGCGCUUGCAACCAGACUUGCCCCGGGGUGAUCAACCGUCCUUUUGGUCGGUGCACUCUCCCCGGGUCAGGCCAGCAUCGGUUCGGGCGGUUGGAUAAAGGCUCCGGGAACGUAGCUCUCUUCGGGGAGUGUUAUAGCCCGGGGUGCAAUGCAACCAGCCUGGACCGAGGACCGCGCUUUGCU
Molecule: ribosomal RNA, 602 nt
Filed under: Schizoxylon berkeleyanum
Lineage: Eukaryota; Fungi; Ascomycota; Lecanoromycetes; Ostropales; Stictidaceae
Description: eukaryotic LSU rRNA
Rfam family: Eukaryotic large subunit ribosomal RNA
Source: RNAcentral